RNAcentral lists this transfer RNA (81 nucleotides) under Klebsiella pneumoniae. RNAcentral describes it as "tRNA-Tyr". It matches the Rfam family "tRNA". Rfam says of the family: Transfer RNA (tRNA) molecules are approximately 80 nucleotides in length. Their secondary structure includes four short double-helical elements and three loops (D, anti-codon, and T loops). Further hydrogen bonds mediate the characteristic L-shaped molecular structure. tRNAs have two regions of fundamental functional importance: the anti-codon, which is responsible for specific mRNA codon recognition, and the 3' end, to which the tRNAs corresponding amino acid is attached (by aminoacyl-tRNA synthetases). tRNAs cope with the degeneracy of the genetic code in two manners: having more than one tRNA (with a specific anti-codon) for a particular amino acid; and 'wobble' base-pairing, i.e. permitting non-standard base-pairing at the 3rd anti-codon position. The record is from RNAcentral. RNAcentral also lists the same sequence under 4 other names. Lineage: Bacteria; Pseudomonadati; Pseudomonadota; Gammaproteobacteria; Enterobacterales; Enterobacteriaceae.
GGAAGGGUAGCGAAGAGGCUAAACGCGGCGGACUGUAAAUCCGCUCCUUCGGGUUCGGGGGUUCGAAUCCCUCUCUCUCCA